RNAcentral lists this small nuclear RNA (91 nucleotides) under Chelydra serpentina (North American snapping turtle). RNAcentral describes it as "U2 spliceosomal RNA (ENSCSRG00000009826.1)". It matches the Rfam family "U2 spliceosomal RNA", at positions 102 to 192 of the family's 192-position model. Rfam says of the family: U2 is a small nuclear RNA (snRNA) component of the spliceosome (involved in pre-mRNA splicing). Complementary binding between U2 snRNA (in an area lying towards the 5' end but 3' to hairpin I) and the branchpoint sequence (BPS) of the intron results the bulging out of an unpaired adenosine, on the BPS, which initiates a nucleophilic attack at the intronic 5' splice site, thus starting the first of two transesterification reactions that mediate splicing. The record is from Rfam by way of RNAcentral. Lineage: Eukaryota; Metazoa; Chordata; Testudines; Chelydridae.
UUUUGAAAUUGGGGGCUGGACUAGGAGCUUGCUCUGUCUACCCCACGUAUUGACCUGGUAUUGCAGUGUUUCCAGGAAUGGUGCAUCCCCU